GAUGAACGCUAGCUACAGGCUUAACACAUGCAAGUCGAGGGGCAGCAUUUUAGUUUGCUUGCAAACUGAAGAUGGCGACCGGCGCACGGGUGAGUAACACGUAUCCAACCUGCCGAUAACUCCGGAAUAGCCUUUCGAAAGAAAGAUUAAUACCGGAUGGCAUACGAAUAUCGCAUGAUAUUUUAUUAAAGAAUUUCGGUUAUCGAUGGGGAUGCGUUCCAUUAGUUGUUGGCGGGGUAACGGCCCACCAAGACUACGAUGGAUAGGGGUUCUGAGAGGAAGGUCCCCCANAUUGGAACUGAGACACGGUCCAAACUCCUACGGGAGGCAGCAGUGAGGAAUAUUGGUCAAUGGGCGCGAGCCUGAACCAGCCAAGUAG
RNAcentral lists this ribosomal RNA (379 nucleotides) under uncultured bacterium. Its description in RNAcentral is "bacterial SSU rRNA". It matches the Rfam family "Bacterial small subunit ribosomal RNA", at positions 28 to 399 of the family's 1533-position model. The record is from RNAcentral.